This 492-nucleotide ribosomal RNA is filed under the name uncultured bacterium. RNAcentral describes it as "partial 16S ribosomal RNA". It matches the Rfam family "Bacterial small subunit ribosomal RNA", at positions 29 to 507 of the family's 1533-position model. The record is from RNAcentral.
AGUGAACGCUGGCGGUAGGCCUAACACAUGCAAGUCGAACGGCAGCACAGUAAGAGCUUGCUCUUACGGGUGGCGAGUGGCGGACGGGUGAGGAAUACAUCGGAAUCUACUUUUUCGUGGGGGAUAACGUAGGGAAACUUACGCUAAUACCGCAUACGACCUACGGGUGACAGCAGGGGAUCUUCGGACCUUGCGCGAUUGAAUUAGCCGAUGUCGGAUUAGCUAGUUGGCGGGGUAAAGGCCCACCAAGGCGACGAUCCGUAGAUGGUCUGAGAGGAUGGUCAGCCACACUGGAACUGAGACACGGUCCAGACUCCUACGGGAGGCAGCAGUGGGGAAGAUUGGACAAUGGGCGCAAGCCUGAUCCAGCCAUACCGCGUGGGUGAAGAAGGCCUUCGGGUUGUAAAGCCCUUUUGUUGGGAAAGAAAAGCAGCAGGUUAAUACCCCGCUGUUCUGACGGUACCCAAAGAAUAAGCACCGGCUAACUUCGUG